This 498-nucleotide ribosomal RNA is filed under the name uncultured bacterium. Its description in RNAcentral is "partial 16S ribosomal RNA". It matches the Rfam family "Bacterial small subunit ribosomal RNA", at positions 28 to 523 of the family's 1533-position model. The record is from RNAcentral.
GAUGAACGCUAGCUACAGGCUUAACACAUGCAAGUCGAGGGGUAGCAGGGUAGCAAUACCGCUGACGACCGGCGCACGGGUGAGUAACACGUAUCCAACCUUCCCAUAACUCGGGGAUAGCCUUUCGAAAGGAAGAUUAAUACCCGAUAGUACUUUAUUAAGGCAUCUUAAGAAAGUUAAAGAUUUAUUGGUUGUGGAUGGGGAUGCGUUCCGUUAGAUAGUUGGUGAGGUAACGGCUCACCAAGUCUUCGAUGGAUAGGGGUUCUGAGAGGAAGGUCCCCCACAUUGGUACUGAGACACGGACCAAACUCCUACGGGAGGCAGCAGUGAGGAAUAUUGGUCAAUGGGCGAGAGCCUGAACCAGCCACGUAGCGUGAAGGAUGAAGGUCCUAUGGAUUGUAAACUUCUUUUAUAGUAGAAUAAAGUGAACCACGUGUGGUUUUUUGUAUGUAUACUAUGAAUAAGGAUCGGCUAACUCCGUGCCAGCCGCCGCCGUAA